RNAcentral lists this transfer RNA (82 nucleotides) under Danio rerio (zebrafish). It matches the Rfam family "tRNA". From Rfam's summary of the family: Transfer RNA (tRNA) molecules are approximately 80 nucleotides in length. Their secondary structure includes four short double-helical elements and three loops (D, anti-codon, and T loops). Further hydrogen bonds mediate the characteristic L-shaped molecular structure. tRNAs have two regions of fundamental functional importance: the anti-codon, which is responsible for specific mRNA codon recognition, and the 3' end, to which the tRNAs corresponding amino acid is attached (by aminoacyl-tRNA synthetases). tRNAs cope with the degeneracy of the genetic code in two manners: having more than one tRNA (with a specific anti-codon) for a particular amino acid; and 'wobble' base-pairing, i.e. permitting non-standard base-pairing at the 3rd anti-codon position. The record is from Rfam by way of RNAcentral. Lineage: Eukaryota; Metazoa; Chordata; Actinopteri; Cypriniformes; Danionidae.
GUAGUCAUGGCCGAGUGGUUAAGCCGAUGGACUAGAAAUCUUUUGGGGUCUCCCCGUGCAUGUUCGAAUCCUGCCGACUACA